This 254-nucleotide ribosomal RNA is filed under the name uncultured bacterium. RNAcentral's name for it is "partial 16S ribosomal RNA". It matches the Rfam family "Bacterial small subunit ribosomal RNA", at positions 524 to 776 of the family's 1533-position model. The record is from RNAcentral.
UACGAAGGGGGCUAGCGUUGUUCGGAAUCACUGGGCGUAAAGGGCGCGUAGGCGGCUUUGUAAGUCGGGGGUGAAAGCCUGUGGCUCAACCACAGAAUUGCCUUCGAUACUGCAUGGCUUGAGACCGGAAGAGGUAAGUGGAACUGCGAGUGUAGAGGUGAAAUUCGUAGAUAUUCGCAAGAACACCAGUGGCGAAGGCGGACUUACUGGUCCGGUUCUGACGCUGAGGCGCGAAAGCGUGGGGAGCAAACAGG